This 12688-nucleotide long non-coding RNA is filed under the name Brassica napus (rape). Its description in RNAcentral is "long non-coding RNA (BNAP_LNC009298)". The record is from RNAcentral. Lineage: Eukaryota; Viridiplantae; Streptophyta; Magnoliopsida; Brassicales; Brassicaceae.
GGUUGUCUUGGACGUGAGCUUCAACCGUCUCACCUACUUACCAACCAACAUAGGGUUCGAGCUAGUGAAUCUAGAAAAGCUCAUGAUCCAAUACAACAAGAUCCGAUCCUUACCGAGCAGUAUAGGCGAAAUGAGAUCCCUAACAUACCUCGACGCCCACUUCAACGAACUCCACGGCCUUCCUGACUCUUUCGUCUUGCUCACAAACCUAGAGUACUUGAACCUAAGCAGCAACUUCAGCGACCUCAAGGAUCUCCCUUCCUCCUUCGGCGACCUCAUAAGCCUCCAGAAACUGGACUUGAGCAACAAUCAAAUCCACGCCCUCCCUGACACUUUUGGCACGCUGGAGAGCCUGGUGGAGCUGAACGUGGACCAGAACCCGCUCGUGGUCCCACCGAAGGAAGUUGUGAAUGAAGGCGUGGUGGCUGUGAAGAUGUACAUGGGUAAGAGAAGGAUCACUAUGUUGGAAGAAGAAGAGAGGAGGAGAGUGGAGGAGGAGAUGGAGCAGGCGAACGCUGGGUGGCUCACACGAACCACCUCUAAGCUGAAAAGUUAUGUCUCAGAUGUUUCUGAGUAUCUAAACCCGAGUUCUCCUCGAGACCCUUACCUUGAGAGGGAACUAUGAAUGUGACUUUGGCUUUGAAGAAACGAUAACUCUCUUUUCAGUCAGAGUAUAUAAUGAAGGGUUCUCUCUUCGUUACGUUUGUGAUUCUUUCUGAUAGGUUAUAUGCCUGUCUUUUAACUUGGGUUCAUUGUUAAGAUGAACCUUCUUGAAUUUUGCCGGUUUUAAAGAAAAAACAAACAACUGUUUUGUGGGUUAAAUAAAAGCUCAAAGGAGUUUAACUGAGUUCUGUGUGUCUUAUAUUCUUUUGGUUGGUUUCCUUGGUUUGAUAAUUGCAUUAGACUAUGAGUUAAAGUCUAAAGAUUCUAAUCUAAUAUUGUGAGAAACAUGAACGGAUCUACCUCUUACGUUUAUGCUAGUUUUGUGCAAAAUUAAGCGUAUGGUUCACAAGCUUAAGUUUCAAGAAAUGGACAGCUAGAGCCUGAGAGUUGGAUUCAAGGAUGUAGGUCCCAAAGUCCUUAACUAUUUCAGAACCGGUUAAUGAACAGGACCUGUCUGAAGGAGCUCUGGUGACUUAUCUUAAGGGAUGACUUUAUUGUCGGUUGGUAGUGUUCCUUAUAAUAAGAUUCAGCACGUUGCGGUAAGUCAACGGACAACAAGAUCGUGCCCGAGCAUGGGUCAUGAACUGAUAAUCCACUUCACGAUCCCAAAUCCCGUGAUCUGUGAUUAUGAGACAGUAUCCAUAUAAUAAACAGAAUUAUCUACUGAACACAAAGUCGUAUAAAAAUUUAGCAUAUACUCCUAUUUUACUACAAACAGAAGCCAUAUUUGAAUCAUUGUAACAAAUGUGACAAUUACAUUUCAACAACCUGUAUGUAACUAUCUUAUUUUGCUUGCCCUUAUCUUUACCUAUUUAAAUCAUUUGGAUUUUUUUUUCCACCUAAUUAUUUAUUGGUGCAUGUGAUGAUCAUUACAACUUUUAUGGGUUCGAAACUACAUUAACUUCAUAAUUACAUAAAACGCAGUAAAUCGAACCAAACCGAAAACCGGUAUUACUACGAACAAGGUUAGAAGUCAAAAACAGGCAAGUCCGACGUUAAUUGAGAGUCCCACAAAACAGUUAAAAAGUAGUAGUCUUAUAAAUGCAAUGUACUGAAUAAUUAAAUUUAAACUGACGGAAACUUACAUAAACGCAUUAAAAAGAGAAGAAGAAAAAACAAUAAUACAUAACGCAUUGUUGAAGAAGCUUUAGCCCAAAAAAAAAAAAAAACUCUGAUUUGACCAUUCCUCCUUGUUCACCACCAAUCGCAACUUUCUCCAAAUCUCGAUUCCACCAUUCUCCCCGAUUGCCGCAUAAGAAUCCUCAAAUCGAAUCAGAUCGAAGUGGGACUUCCCAAAAUCCGAUGAAGAUGGCGGCGAACGGCCGAUUAUUCACGAUCGGGAUCGUCGCGUCGUGGUACUCGUCCAACAUCGGAGUGCUGUUACUAAACAAGUACCUCCUCAGCAACUACGGGUUCAAGUACCCGAUCUUCCUCACCAUGUGCCACAUGACCGCCUGCUCCCUCCUCAGCUACGUGGCCAUCGCGUGGAUGAAGAUGGUCCCUAUGCAGACGAUCAGGUCCCGCGUCCAGUUCCUCAAGAUCGCGGCGCUGAGCCUCGUCUUCUGCGUCUCCGUGGUGUUCGGGAACAUCUCCCUCAGGUUUCUCCCCGUCUCGUUCAACCAGGCCAUCGGCGCCACGACGCCGUUUUUCACCGCCGUGUUUGCGUAUUUGAUUACGUUGAAGAAGGAGGCCUGGUUGACUUAUGUUACGCUCGUGCCCGUUGUCACUGGUGUUGUUAUUGCUAGUGGGGUAAGUUUGUGUUUUUUUUUUUAUUUUGAUUGAGAUAUUGAAAUGUGUUGUUAUGUGAAUGUAGAGGCAUGGCAUCUGAUUGGUUCUGUUUUGUAUGUGAAUGUUGAUAGAAAUCUUAGGAAAGGUAACAUUUGUGAAUGUUGAGAAGUUGUUCUUAUAUGUGUGUGAAGAGUAUGCUUACUUUUGCAUCUAUUCGAUUUCAGACAGAGUUUUGUUAUCUCUGUAUUGAGUUGACUCUCUAUCUGAUUUUUUUUUUCUUUGUUUUCGUGAUUUGACCAGAGUGAACCAAGUUUCCACCUGUUUGGAUUCAUAAUGUGCGUUGCAGCCACAGCUGCGAGAGCACUUAAAUCAGUUCUUCAAGGGAUUUUGCUAUCUUCAGAAGGGUAAGUGAUAAAUAUCAUCUUUUGGAGAUUUACCAGCUUAAGGUUUUAUAUUUCUCAAGUCUUUAUUUGUCAAGAUAGCUGCUGAAAAUAUUUAUUAUGAAUUUUGUUUUGAAGGGAGAAGCUAAACUCCAUGAAUCUCCUCCUCUACAUGGCUCCCAUAGCGGUUGUGUUCCUUCUUCCGGCUACCCUUAUCAUGGAGAAGAACGUUGUUGGCAUCACAAUUGCACUCGCCAGAGACGAUUUCAGAAUCGUUUGGUAUCUGCUAUUCAACUCGGCGCUUGCUUAUUUCGUGAACUUGACUAACUUCUUAGUCACAAAACACACCAGCGCUCUGACACUCCAGGUAAAACAAUUCAUCUUCUUCUAUACAUUAAUUACCACUUCUUCUCUAAAAGUUAAUAAGUGGUUUCAUGAACCUUCUCUAUGGCAGGUGCUAGGAAACGCCAAAGGAGCAGUAGCAGUGGUGGUAUCGAUCCUAAUAUUCAAGAAUCCUGUCUCAGUGACUGGAAUGUUAGGCUACUCGCUAACUGUCAUUGGAGUAAUCCUCUACAGUGAAGCCAAGAAACGAAGCAAAUGAAGUUAAAGAAACCUCUUCAAUUUUUAUUUGUUAGGUCCUUGCAGGUAAAACACACAAGGCAAAGUUCCUUUUGCUGGACCAGAAGCAAAAGGAUGUGUAAAGGCAACACCAAAGGAUCAGAGUACCCAUAAGCAAUAAGUGAUUUUUGUUUCCUUCUUUUAAUUUUUGUUUACGGAUCUUCUACAGCUUUUGUCUUAGGUUGUUCUAAGAGUAACUUCGAUGUAGCUUCCUUUUUUUUUGGUCGAUUCUUUACAUCUUUUGUGAUACAACAUUUAUAACACUGAUUAAUUAAUGGAAAAGACGAGUUUUUUUUUUUCUUUCAUCUGUCUGUUAAUCCAACUUGUGUUCUGUAGUUCCACUAUGAUUUGGUAAACUCUGUAAGGCUUGGAACUGAAUUUGAUUUCUAAACAGCAAUGUACACUGCUCUGUCUUAAUGUAGUAAAGAACUUUGGAAACGAAGUUAAAGCUUUGAUAAAUAAGAUAAUGUAUGUGUUCUACAAGUGGUUGCAACACAAACAUUUGAUCUCUGAAGGUGUACUAAUGGAAGAUGGAUGGUUCAGAAAAUGAGGAAAAAGAGAUUGAAAAGAAUGAUAGAAGAUAUGAGAGAGGAGGAGAGAAUGUACAAAUCAGAUAAUGAGUUAUUUGAGAUAAAGCAUAUUCAUCAAUCAAUCAUCAGUAUCACUAUCUCCAGCUUCAACUUCUUGAGCCACCCAGUAAUUGUUCCCAUCCGGACCCCAAACCUUGUACCUGUCAAACACAUUUAUCGUCUCAACUAAAAAAAAAAAAAAAUUUGUUAAGAAAAAACCUGUGAUUGAGAUGAAUCAAUGUACUUUACCUUUCGAGAACAGAUUUGCCUUCCUUGUACUUUUGGCUCUUCUCAAAAGCAAACUCCUGAAUAGCAAACAAAACAUUAGAUUAGCAAAGGCAAGGGCCAAAAAAAGAAAGAAACAUUGGAUGUUUUUCUUCUUACAUAUCUCCAUCCAACAUAAGAGCCGCAUUUGACGCAGUAAAUAUCGAAAACGGUGUGCACUCCAGUCAUCAUCAUCCUAUCUUCCUUCUUCCCAGUAUACACAUUCGCUCUGUCCACACACAAGUUGACAUUCAUAAAACUAUUCAUAUCAAGCUUUGGCCAUUUGCAAAGGAUGUUGGGCUUACACAAAAACCAAAUGAAAGUAGAUUAACUUACACCUUACUGAAGAGGUAAGCUUUCCCAUGGCGUGAUUGAAAAGACUGUUAAAAAAAACAAAGCAAACGACAUAGACGUUGUCACUAUCUUCUAUACUCAACAAAGCGCAAAGACAUUGCAAUAUAUCAUUUAAAUAGUUUUAACAAUGUGUGAAGUGAACCAUAUAAGCACUUAGAAAUAAAGUAAUCAAAAUCCACACAGCUUAUUAUGCACCAACCAAUCGUUAUAUGUGAUUGAGAAUGCAGGAUGGUCUCAAGAUUCACGUAGCUAUAUAGAAAGAGUAACAAAUGUUGUAGAUUGAUCUAGUUUCAUACAAUUUACUGCUGCUAAAUCUUUUUCUAGAUGUGAAGUAUCCCCCAAUUCUCAUGAUCCAGAAUCUUAGAGCGUUGAUCAUGGAGAUUCAAUUAACACAAAAAAAAAGGCACAAUCGAUGCAAUGCAAAGCAAUCAACAGUGUUGAUUCUUUACAGUCAAUCUAGAGAAUCUGAUCGUGUACUCAUCGAAUGAUGAGAGAUAAAUCGCAGAAAAAGAUUUAGCAGCAGUAAAAAGAAAUUAUGGAAAACCUUGGAGACGACAUCAUCGCAGAGGGCUAUAUCAGUUUUGCAGUGACGACAACAGUAGGACUUGCCUUCCAAUUCCACCAAGAACAAUCUCCCCAUCUUCUUCUUUUUUUUUCCUUCAGGAAUCGAUCUCACUAGUAGUGGAGAGAAAGGAACCGAUCUUUAUAUUUUUAAUACUAAUCAAUGAGAGAUAUGAGAUCAUUUAAUUACGGAACAAGGCGUUAGAGAUUAUUUUUGGGUGAAAGAACCAAGAAAAGUCUAUAAAAAUGGAGAAAAUUCAGAGUUGUGUGUUCGGUAUUUUUUUUUAUUUUUAUUUAAAAAAAUGUUCAUAAACAUUUUUUUGUAGAAAAGUGGACCCUGACAAAGUCAUGGCCUGGGAAUAUACGUUAAACUAUUUCUUUUAUGCCAAUUUUACUUACGUACAACUCUCUUUGUACUAGAUUGAUGCAAGUGUACGUGAUUGCUUCGUUCUUAUCCUAAGAUUCUUUCUAUGUAUCCAUCAUCACACUACUUGUCAACAAUACUAUAAUCGCGGAGAGCUUCUCGUCUCUCUUCGUUUCCCUCCAAUCGACUCUUUCUAAGGUUAGAAUAAAGUAUUAGUGGAAUGACCCAUCUAUCUUAUUUAUGGGCUUCCAACCUAAAACCAAUUGGUGAUAAGUGGAAUGUCACAUCUAUCUUAUAUAUUAAAGAUCCCUUCCAACUACCGAUGUGGGACCUUUGUCCCUAAUACGCCCCCUCGAGAUGAUGGCUCUUUAAGCGUCAAUCUCGGAAUGUUUGGGCAAGGAUCGAGGACCAACUUUGGACCGGGUCGAUGUGGAUCGGAUUGGACUGCGUGGAUCGGACUCUGAUACCAUGUUAAGCUAGACGGGCUUCCAACCUAAAACCAAUUGGUUGGAAGCCCGUCUAACUUAACAUAAAGAACCAAUUUUUUGGGUUAUAGGAGAUUUCAUCAGUGCCCUUGUUUGUCUUCAUGUUUUGAGCUUUGUAAUGAUCUGAUCGCAUCUCUAGUUGUCCGUGGACCGAUGUAAACAUUGCAAAGUUUGAUGCUUUUAAUCUAUUUGCUUAGAGUUGUUUGUUUGCGUGGCUAAUGGUGUAAUAGGCUACAGGAAGCUCAGUUGAUCACAUGACUUGCUUUGGAGAUGCAGCUGGACGCCUUCAGGAAACCGGUAACGUUAGAGAAAACUCACUGCUUUUCUUUUGUAUGAAUGAAUGAAGAAAUCAACUUGAACUGCUUUUCUUUUGUUUUGUGAAUUUUACAGCUCUAGAUGCAUCCACAAAAGGGAACCGCUACAUCAACUCUUGCCUCAGGUACCUAUCGUAGCGAACACCGAAUAUGUUUCCAAAAUCCAAAUGUGUGGCUUCAUAUCGUCGGUUAAUUAAAUUUCAAAUACACUCACGGUUGUGAUUUGUGAACGAGUUCUUAUUCGGUUCAAAUGUGCAUACUAAACGAGGAAAUUAAAGGCGUUGAUACUCUGGCGGCUCAGUUGUAUCCUUGAUAUAGUUCUUUGCGUGUCAACCAUGUUGUUGAGUGUUGUACACAGAGAGACAAAUACAAACCAUCUUUGGCUCAAAGCUUUGUUAAUUGUGGUUUUAGUUGGAAAUUGUUGUACAAUUCCUUGAUAAAUCAAUCUACAGAAAGCACCUGGGGAGAAAUUUGGAUGUUCUUGACACGGCUGUGAACAAGCUUCUCCGUCCACCAUGACAAGUCAUUGUUAGCUUUCAUGGACUUGGAUCACUUAUCUCUCGUACAUAAAGGUUUUGAUUAUAACUGAUGUUUUUCUUCUUCUUUUGUGACGCAAUGUUUUGUGGUGAAACGUUUUUUACUAAAAUAUUUUUGAAAUUUAAAAUGUUUAGUAACAUACGAUAUUAAAAAAAAAAAUCGAAUUUUUUUUUAAAAACCCUUGAUUAAGAGACUCGCAUUGGAGCACAUAAAUGUUCGGGUCUCUUAACGGAGUCUCUUAACACCCAUUUAUUGCUUAAAAUUAUUAAAAAAUAACUAAGAGACCCUAAAUGAAUAUUUGGGAUAAUGAUGCUAAGAGCAUGAUUAUCCCUAGAAACCCAUAAGGUUUUUUAUGUACACUUUAAUGACUAUUUAACUAUUAAAUUUUAGCUAAGGGUUUUAGUUAAGAAUCACCUAAUUUUUGUGCUACGGUAAUUUCUUAAUUUGGGUUUUUUAAAAAAAAUUUAACUUUUUUUAACGAUUCGAGUAAAUGCUUGACAUACAAACAAACGCCACAAAACCCUAGAACACUUGGAAGAAGUAGAAGAUCAAUCAUUAUAUAAAAAAUAAUCUGGAAGGUCAAACCACCUAGCUAUAUUGACCCAACAGUUGCGUAUGUAUCAAUAUCAUGUAUGUCGUGUUUUAAUCGAUCAAUGUACAUGAAGAGAUUAGGAACCUGAUAACUGGUGUUGAAGUUACCGUACGCGAAGUGAUGAUGCUUGUUUUACCAACUCCUUGAUCGCCAAGGAACACGAGUGUUAGACCAUAAUUAUUGGAGUCUCUUAACAGCGUAUUUUAAUUUAUUUAGGAAUAAAAAAAAAGAAAAUAGCAAUUAACAUAAGAGACGUGAGAGAGAGGCGAUGGAGGCACGAGGUAUACCGUAUACGGUGGAGAAAUCCCAGACGUCGGAGUUGGAUGGAUUGAUUGAUUUGGUGUUGGUAACAAUAGGAGUUGGAUGAGAUGAAGAAUCGAUUGAGGAUGAAGCUGCUGCUCUUCGUGAGAUGCAGGCCAAGGUUGAGAAGGAUAUGGGACCUCAAGGUUUGUUCUGAUUCUGAUUUGUUAGCGGCAGAUUCAAGUUCUUUUGUAAUUCAACUGUUUAUUCAAUUCUAUUUGCAGUUCCUGUUACGAUAGCAGCAGAUCAAGCAGGCAAGGAGGAGGUGGAUGCUCGAUCUGUUUUUGUUGGCAAUGUAAGAACGCUUAUGUGUCUUUAAUUCUUCUUUGAAUUGAAACGUUGUAACUCCUAGUUGAUUUCAUAGUUUGUUCCUCUUUGUGACUUAGUGGGCAUUCAGCUAGACUUAUGAAUUGUGCGUAGAUGACUAGCCCAGUUGAUAAAAAGGAGUGUUUAGUCUUAAGAGUUUAGAAGUGUAUUAUGGUUUAAUUGUGAGUUCAUAAUCUGAUUAUUUUCUCUUGCUUUCUCUACAAUGCAUGCACUGGAUAUCUGUUCAAUGACGAGUCUAGAUUUGGCGAAUAUUAUGAAUGGUAAAAUUGGGUGAUGAGAUUGUAGAGUACAUCUUAAAAUGUAGUAUCAUAAGCCAUUGUCUGUCCAUUAGAAAUUCAGUUUCAUUUGUACAUAGUACUGACUUUUCCAUUUGGGCAGUCACAGGGUCCACUUCAGCACAUUCAGUCUAUGUCUGGUUUGAAGGACAUAACCGAAAGCUCAAACAGCCGUGAGAGUUUCUCCAGUGGAACACAUCCUGGAAGAUGAAGAUCAGUUACUGGCUCCUGUCACCGUUUUGUUAACUUGUUACUCAAGGUUAGUCUUUUGUAUAUAAAGAGGCGAAAUCUAUGUAUUCGUUUUGGUGUUUUUCUGGCUCAUGCCAACUCUUAUGUAUAAUUAAGGGAAAGAUUAGAAGAAUCUGUAAAAUAUAAUUGAUCAUCUUUGUUCACUAUAUAGUAUGUAAAGUCUGAGUCUCUAUGGUCACUCAUAAGGAUUAUGAGUUAGUAUAGAAUCAUUUGCUCUGUUUUUUUGCUUGUAUGCUGAGGAUUGAAGAGAAAUUUUCUUGAUUUAUCUUGUUAUGAUCAUGUACACACUUGUAUAGUCUGAGUCUUUGUGGUCACUCAAAAGGAUCAUGAUUUAGCAUAUAAUCAUUUUCUCAGUUCUUUUGUUCAUAUGCUAAGGAACAAAAGUGUCUUAUUGUUCCAUUUAUCGACAUAUUAUGAUCAUAUACAUACUGUAUAGUCUGAGCCUUGUAAUGUUGUGUAAUCUUGUUGUGUUUUAUUGUGUAUUCUUGUCAAGUAUUGUGUAAUUUUUUUUAAGAAUGAGGUCUUUUAAAUAACAAUAUAACAUUUAAUACUGAAAAAUGAUUAAGAGACCCAAAGUGAGUCUUUGGGUUAAUGAUGCUCUUAGUCUUAGAUUCUUCUAUGCAUCCAUCAUACUACUUGUCAACAAUACUAUAAUACUCCUCUGAUUACUCGCAAACCCUCUUAGCUAUAAAGAGUCUUUACAAAAGAGUCUUUACAAAGAGUCUCCAAUCUCUGUAUCGAUACCAUUUUAUCCAAAGACAAAAGAAGAUUUUGCAGCUUUUGCGUUUGAGACAGGUGACAAAUCUUAAUUAUGCCUUCAUAUGUGGCUUGAUCAAAAAUUGUAGCUUUAAAAUUUGUUCUCGAAACUUAAAUCUACUAGUUUGUUCCUUGAGUCUUUUUUUCCACCUUUUUUGGGACUUAAGCAACUUCUAUCAUCUUUUAUUGUCAGAAAUGAAUAUUUACAUACCUUUUAGCAAAAAAAUGGUGCAUAUGUUCUUGAAGGUCAACAAGGCGACCAUUAAUAUGCUUCGCUGAGUUGAACCCUACGUGACCUGCGGGUACUCCUCUCUUCAUUUACAAUGUCAAAACUGCCUUUCUUGUGAACUGCACGUUAGAGUGUUUUUUUUUUUAUAACAUCUUAACUUUAUUAAUAUCAAAAGAGAGUUAACAAUGAACCAGAAUCAAAAUUUACAACAAAUACAUUUUAAGCUGAACAUGACAACGUCAAGAGUGUUUCUGUGUAGCCAUGUUGGGCUCAGUCGUUAAUUACGAUACAUUGCAGUUUUGAAGUGUAAUAUUUAAUAUAAAGCGAACCCAUAAUCUAUUUUUUAAGGUUUGAUGAUUUCUUGAUGAGUUAUUCCUGUAAAAAAAUAUUUGGUUUUAUGAGUUUUAAGAUAGAGAGAGUCACUUUAUUAACAAGGAGAUUUUUUAUUUUAUUUUUGUUACAUAUGAUUACAAGGAGAAUUAUUACAUAUCAUUAAACUGGUUUUGCCAUGUCCUAGCAUAAACAUAAUUUUAUUUACUCCACGCGAUAUUAUUAUAAUCGAUCAUUAUUUUAGACAUUUUAUUCCGAUUCUAAGAACAAGCUUGGGAAGGAAUACACUUGAUAGAACAGAAGCAUACUUGAUCUUUUCCAUUGAAAACCUGUUUGUCUUGGCAAAUACGGUGACAGGUUUGACAAAUGGGGCGAGAAGCACCAUCGUUUGAAGAAAUCUUAACCUCGAAGCCAUUCACUUUGAUCCUAUUGCCACAUUUCAAAUAAGGGUAUUUCCCUAAGAUGCAGUCAACAUGUAGAGUGGUGAAGCAAUGGCGGCAGGUGUAGAUAAUUCGUCUUUUCUCUAUAAUUUCUUCACAUAUCUCACACCACCCACUGCUAUGACCUUCAUGAUCAUAGUAUAAGGUGAGUGGAUGGUCGUCACACUUGUAUUCCACCUGUCCUGGUAAAUUCAGGCAUUUGAAGUCAAAGUCGAUGCUGCCCGAUCGAGAUCGAGAUGCCUCACCUAGCCGAGCCGGGAGUCCUCGCCUCCAUGACCAAGGCCAUCACCGACGUCGCGGAGACCCGAUCCGUCCUCCGAACCCUAGGGCCCAGGCCCGAUCACGAGGCCGUCGACAGGGCGCGCGCCAAGCUAAACGAGAUCGAGGGGAUGCUGUCGGAGUCCUUCGAGGACAUCGCGCUGACCGAGGCGGCGGGGGAGGAUGAGAUUGAGAAGAGGAGGCGGGAGAUGGAUCAGGAGAAGACGUGGUGCGAGUCGAUUUUGAAGCUGGAUGAGGUUCAUGGGUCUUAUGAGAAGCUGUUGAGUGAGGCGGAGGAGAGGCUUGUGAGGAUUUAUGAGUUUGCGGAGAAGAAAGCUAAGGUUGAGGAAGGUGAGGGUGGGGUUGAGGAGGUGGAGGUUAAUGAGGAGGUUGUGGGGAUACUGCAGGAGGCGUUGGCUAAUCCUGUGGAGAGGGUUGAUUUGUCUGGGAGGAAGCUGAGUUUGCUCCCUGAGGCUUUUGGGAGGAUUCAAGGGUUGCUUGUUCUUAAUCUCUCCAACAAUCAGCUCCAGGUUUGUUCUCAUUUCAAGAAUCGGGAUCACAGUUUGCUACAUUGUUGCGAGUAGGAUGAGUCUGACUGAGUCUCUUCCUGGCUUCUCUAGAUAUAUGUUAAAAGAUGCAAUUUUUGUUUUAAGAUCAUAUAGGUUUUGAGAAUCUGGUUGUGAAAUUUGAUACCUUGUGGCGAGUAGGGUGAGUCUGAAUCUGUUCCCGGGUUCUCUAGAUGUUAAAAGAUGCAACUUUUGUUUAAGAUCCUAAAGAUCUGGGGAUUUGGUAACGUUAAUUGAUUGGGGGCAUUCUACAGUCGCUAUUGAGAAACCCCUUUAGUAGAAGAUGUUCAGUAGUAAUCACAAGGUUACUAGUUGCAUUUGGUUUAGGCCUUAUUCCAUUGGUGACGAACAAUGCCUUUUCUGUUGUGAUUCAAAGACAUUUAGACAUUUUGUAUCAAUGAUGUCUAGUCUGAUGUUAAAAGAUGCAACUUUCGUUUAAGAUCCUAUAGCUUGGAGAAUGUGGUAACGUAAAUUGAUUGGGGGGGAAUUAUAGAGUCGCUGAUGAGCAUACAGUUUAGUAAAUGAUGAUAAGGAGUGAUCACAAGAGUACUAGUUGCAUUUGGUUUUGGUCUUAUUCUAUUGGUGACGAACAAUGCUUCUGGUGUGAUUCAAAGAUAUUUUGUUUAAUGAUGUCUAGAGUGAUGUGAUAUUAAAGAGAUUCUUGCUAAUGUGUGUUUGUUUUGGUUUUGCGUCUGAGAUUUUGGUCGUUAAUGAUUUGUAGUCUAUUGUAGUUUAAAGAGAUUCUACAUAUCUGCUUCUUUUUGGUUCUGUUAUCUUUGAUAUUAGUCAAACAUGUGUUCGAUAAGUUAGUUAUAUAAAGGAAUAGGUCCAGUUAUGGCUAAUAAGUUGAUUCACGUUCUGCAAGCGAAUGCCGCUGAUGUCAAUGCUAUUGGUUUCUUUGGUUGUUCUGAGUUGGAACCUAUGGCUCUAGCUGCAUUAGUUUUUUUCAUUUUUAGUUAUACAAAAUAACUUGCAAAAGCUCAGUUUCUGAGUUUCACUUGUCUUACUCUGACCGAGGUGUAUUGUCCAACAGGCUAUUCCUGAUUCAAUAGCAGGAUUGCAUGGUCUUGUUGAAUUAGAUGUCUCCGGGAAUCUUCUGGAGACCUUACCUGAUUCUAUCGGUCUACUGUCAAACUUGAAGAUUCUGAACGUCUCGACUAACAAGCUCACCGCCUUGCCUGAUUCCAUCUGCCGUUGCGGGUACAUACAUAACUCUCACUUUGUCAAGUUUUAGUUUUUGUAAUCAAUCUCAACCACUUUCUUAACAUCAAAUCCUCAGGUCGUUGGUUGUCUUGGACGUGAGCUUCAACCGUCUCACCUACUUACCAACCAACAUAGGCUCCGAGCUAGUGAAUCUAGAAAAACUCAUGAUACAGUACAACAAGAUCCGAUCAUUACCAAGCAGCAUAGGCGAAAUGAGAUCCCUAACAUACCUCGACGCCCACUUCAACGAACUGCACGGCCUACCUGACUCUUUCGUCUUGCUCACAAACCUAGAGUACCUAAACCUAAGCAGUAACUUCAGCGAC